AGAAUCAACGCUGGCGGCGUGCCUCAGACAUGCAAGUCGAACGAUUAAAGCUCUCUUCGGAGAGUGUAUAGAGUGGCGCACGGGUGAGUAACACGUAAGUAAUCUACCUUUGAGUGGGGAAUAACGUUCGGAAACGAACGCUAAUACCGCAUAAUGCAGCGGCACCGCAAGGUGACAGUUGUUAAAGGAGCAAUCCGCUUAAAGAGGAGCUUGCGGCAGAUUAGCUAGUUGUAAGGUAAUGGCUUACCAAGGCUACGAUCUGUAACCGGUCUUAGAGGACGGUCGGUCACACUGACACUGAAUAACGGGUCAGACUCCUACGGGAGGCAGCAGUCGGGAAUUUUGGGCAAUGGGCGAAAGCCUGACCCAGCAACGCCGCGUGAAGGAUGAAGUAUUCGGUAUGUAAACUUCGAAAGAAUAGGAAGAAUAAAUGACGGUACUAUUUAUAAGUCCGGACUAACUACGUGCCAGCAGCCGC
RNAcentral lists this ribosomal RNA (478 nucleotides) under uncultured soil bacterium. RNAcentral describes it as "bacterial SSU rRNA". It matches the Rfam family "Bacterial small subunit ribosomal RNA", at positions 26 to 518 of the family's 1533-position model. The record is from RNAcentral.